GGGGCUAUAGCUCAGCGGGGAGAGCGCCUGCUUUGCACGCAGGAGGUCACCGGUUCGAUUCCGGUUAGCUCCA
Molecule: transfer RNA, 73 nt
Filed under: Delftia acidovorans
Lineage: Bacteria; Pseudomonadati; Pseudomonadota; Betaproteobacteria; Burkholderiales; Comamonadaceae
Also listed under: 2 other names
Description: tRNA-Ala
Rfam family: tRNA
About the family: Transfer RNA (tRNA) molecules are approximately 80 nucleotides in length. Their secondary structure includes four short double-helical elements and three loops (D, anti-codon, and T loops). Further hydrogen bonds mediate the characteristic L-shaped molecular structure. tRNAs have two regions of fundamental functional importance: the anti-codon, which is responsible for specific mRNA codon recognition, and the 3' end, to which the tRNAs corresponding amino acid is attached (by aminoacyl-tRNA synthetases). tRNAs cope with the degeneracy of the genetic code in two manners: having more than one tRNA (with a specific anti-codon) for a particular amino acid; and 'wobble' base-pairing, i.e. permitting non-standard base-pairing at the 3rd anti-codon position.
Source: RNAcentral